CGUAACCAAGGAGCGUGCAGACACUGGUAUGGCAUAUAGAUGAGAUAUAAGAGUACAUCAUUACGGAACAAGUGACUCAUCUACUGAGUACUUUGCUAUCAAGAGUAGCUCAUAAAAUAUAUGGACAUAAGUAUCCCUUGGAUUUGAGAUGACCAUAGUGACUUACAAGCAACUCACUGUGUUUAGGUACCGGACUACUUAUAUUUCUAAUGC
This 213-nucleotide long non-coding RNA is filed under the name Elaeis guineensis (African oil palm). Its description in RNAcentral is "long non-coding RNA (EGUI_LNC036583)". Lineage: Eukaryota; Viridiplantae; Streptophyta; Magnoliopsida; Arecales; Arecaceae. The record is from RNAcentral.